RNAcentral lists this ribosomal RNA (568 nucleotides) under Hyloscirtus cf. phyllognathus LSB 369. RNAcentral's name for it is "partial 16S ribosomal RNA". It matches the Rfam family "Bacterial large subunit ribosomal RNA", at positions 1829 to 2598 of the family's 2925-position model. The record is from RNAcentral. Lineage: Eukaryota; Metazoa; Chordata; Amphibia; Anura; Hylidae.
CGCCUCUUGACCACAUAUAAGAGGUCCUGCCUGCCCAGUGACUCAAUUCAACGGCCGCGGUAUCCUAACCGUGCGAAGGUAGCGUAAUCACUUGUUCUUUAAAUGAGGACUAGUAUGAAUGGCGUCACGAAGAUUUUACUGUCUCCUUUCUCUAAUCAGUGAAACUAAUCUUCCCGUGAAGAAGCGGGAAUAAGUAUAUAAGACGAGAAGACCCUAUGAAGCUUUAAACGUAGUAACAACUUUUACCUAUUAAUAACAUUUCUGAAUAACCACACCAAGUAACCCCUAUGAUUACAAGUUUUUGGUUGGGGCGACCACGGAGUAGAAAACAACCUCCAAGUAGAACGGAGUUUAAUCCUAAGCAAAAAGCUUCAACUUUAUGCACCAGCAAACUGACUUCUAUUGACCCAAUAUAUUGAUCAACGAACCAAGUUACUCUAGGGAUAACAGCGCAAUCCACUUCUAGAGCCCCUAUCGACAAGUGGGCUUACGACCUCGAUGUUGGAUCAGGGUAUCCUGGUGGUGCAGCCGCUACCAAAGGUUUGUUUGUUCAACGAUUAAAACCCUA